This 260-nucleotide long non-coding RNA is filed under the name Lathyrus oleraceus (garden pea). RNAcentral describes it as "Pisum sativum (pea) long non-coding RNA (PSAT_LNC021560)". Lineage: Eukaryota; Viridiplantae; Streptophyta; Magnoliopsida; Fabales; Fabaceae. The record is from RNAcentral.
AAGAGACCUUCUUCCUCUCGAAAUUUUAUUGAUGAUGAUUGUUGGUAUUGUUGUUGUUGUAGGUGUUUGUGCGUUGCUAUGGUUGUUGUUGUUGACGUUGUUAUUAUUGAAUUGGUACUGAUUGAUUAUUCAAAAAUACUAGAAUUACUGAAGAUACUUGAUGAUGAUGUUGACGGGAUGGUUGACUCUUUCAGAUCUGAGGCCUCCCCUGCCUCGCACUAGAAAUUGCAUUAGCUUCGCUAUCUUUCUUCUUUCCAAAG